GAUUUCUGGCUUGAAACAUUUUGCCGGCCACGGUUUCGUGUGUUAGUGCUUGAUGUUCUGGCCAUCCUUCCAAUCGCUAUUGGCUUUUCUUCAUUGAGAGGUCAGUGGUAUUGGAUCUUUUACUUUGAAAAAAUUAGAGUGUUUCAAGCAGGCUUUAUGCUAUGAAUACAUUAGCAUGGAAUAAUAAUUUAGGACUUCGGUUCUAUUUUGUUGGUUUCUAGGACUGAAGUAAUGAUUGAUAGGGAUAGUUGGGGGUGCUAGUAUUCAGCGGCCAGAGGUGAAAUUCUUGGAUUCGUUGAAGACUAACUUAUGCGAAAGCAUU
RNAcentral lists this ribosomal RNA (322 nucleotides) under uncultured Cercozoa. Its description in RNAcentral is "bacterial SSU rRNA". The stretch from base 62 to 322 matches the Rfam family "Eukaryotic small subunit ribosomal RNA", at positions 694 to 955 of the family's 1831-position model. Lineage: Eukaryota; Cercozoa. The record is from RNAcentral.